UUUUGUAUAUUUUACCUCUUAACAAAGAGGGUGCCUCAUCGUUUCUAAUGGUGGGCUUUAAGUGAUGCUCCUCUACCUUGCCGAUGAUGAAAGUUAUGGUAUUGUGUAUUGUAUGAUAUUUCAUGAUUACUAUACCAACUACUGCCUUCCUUCUGAGGCCUUUGACUGCUCAUUUACUCUCGUAUCUCGUUGUAGCUUUUGAGUUUCUAUUAUAAAAUUGAUUGCCUGUUCGAAUUUAACUAGCGGCGUGAGAUUUGAUGGCAGGGUCAUGUGAUGAACAGAAGCAUAGUUCAGAUGAUAUUUUUGUGAUUAUUUCGUUUUAAGUCUUUCGCUCCUAUCUGAUGACCCUUUCAAACUUCUAUUAGACUCGGUUCUGGUUAAUGGGUGCAAAGGUUUUACAUUCCUUUCUGCCUAGUGUUCGUCUAUGUUUUACCCCCAGAGGCCUUUUUCCCCUAUGCAUUUAGUUUCUAUUUGGGACUUUGUCUGCCCCUUUAGCAGUGUCAUUGAGUGCUUUAGGGAUGAACAUGUCCCAGAUAAUUAUCCAUCCGAAUCACUUUGUCAGCUUUUAUUUUUGUUUGCUUGCUGAUCAUUAUAGGAUGGAAUAUUGACAAGCAUCUCAAGUUAUGGGGUAUAUAUGUUUUUAUUAUAUAUUAAUGUCACUGAUGACAAUUUUAAAGGCUUGUUUCUCAAAACAUUCGCAGUGGCCGCCUGAGAGCUUUCGCCUUUGCCGGGCUUGAGAGCUAAUGCUGCUGUAAUCCUUCCUUGGAUGUCUGAGACAUUUGCAUGUGAUGUUUUCGAUGUUUUUUGGCAUUAUUGUCCCGAUUGUAAAUUUUGCGAAGUGAAUUUGUUUGCAAGUUACUGUUAGUUGUUUGAAGUACUUUUUUGGUCAUUCUUCUGAUAUUCUGUCUUAAAUUCCUGUGAUGCUUCUCUUAUGCAAAACUUCAAUAAAUUUUGAAGUCAUAAUUCAUGUGAGUUAUAUGUUCAAUGAUGACAAAUCCAAAGGCUUGUUUCUCAAUACAUUUGCAGUGGCCGCCUAAGAGCUUUCGCCUUCGCCGGGCUUGAGAGCUAAUGCUGCCCCAAUCCUUCCUUGGAUGUCUGAGACUCUUCUCACUAAUUGUUCUUGAACCUCUCCUUUUGAACCGAAUGGUGUAGUUUUUUAAUAGCGAAUUUUUUUCCUCAAUUCUUUUUCUCCAAGGAGAGGCCAAUGUUUGCAAUAUGUCAUUUUUUAAUAAAUAAUUACAAUUCUACAAUUGGUUGCGCAAGCGUUAAUGUUACGUAGUCUUUUAGUUAAUCUAUUGAUAUUGUCUUAACACUUCUGUUGCGUGAUUGUAGGUAGCUUACAACUGAUAUGAUGGUAUUGUUCAUGUAAAGUGUGAUGUCAUUUUACGAGGGAAUUAAUUGUCCAGUGAUGACAUCUCAAAGGCUUGUUUCUCAAAACAUUCGCAGUGGCCGCCUAAGAGCUUUCGCCUUCGCCAGGCUUGAGAGCUAAUGCUGCACCAAUCCUUCCUUGGAUGUCUGAGGCAAUGCAUGUUUAAUAUUAAGCUAAACUUACUAAUUGAUAAGAAUUAUAAAUAUGAUUAAUUUUUUUAAAAAAUUACAUUACUUGUUGAUGAUGUAUUAUUAAUAUAAAAUUAACUUAGUUGUAUUAGAAAUAUAAAACCAACUGUGUAUGAUCGGUAAAUCAAAAUUAGUGCAAUUGGUGCAUUCUACUAGUCUUGUUUUCUGCUACCUGCGUUGGGUUCUCCUAUACUAUUCGCUUAGAACAAAUUCGAAGUCAUUGUUGAGUUUAUUGGUCAGUAUUCACAAAUUCAAAGGCGUGUUUCUCGAUAUCUGCAGUGGCCACCCGAGAGCUUUCGCGUCUGCGGGGUUGAAGCGUCUGUGCUGUUACAAUCCUUUGAUGCUUGAGCCCGAGGUCAAAAUAUUGAAGCAUCUUCUGUUUAUUUCUUUGCAAUUUGUUUAUCCUUUUCAUCCAUAGGACGUUGGUUAACCGAAUGUUUCAUUCUUAUACGGAAUACAACUAGUUUAAGAGGUUAUGUUGACAGUUAACCCAUGGAGGGAGACAAUUGCUUCCUACCCUGGCAUUCUGAACGCCUUGGGAGAUUCUGAUUUGAGUAUGUCGUAUGUGCGUUUUGGUUCAGUUGAUGAAGUUGAGUGCU
This is a long non-coding RNA of Neltuma alba, 2156 nucleotides long. RefSeq lists it as uncharacterized. Lineage: Eukaryota; Viridiplantae; Streptophyta; Magnoliopsida; Fabales; Fabaceae. The record is from RefSeq and is a predicted model, not a curated record. The transcript is spliced from 2 exons.